RNAcentral lists this transfer RNA (76 nucleotides) under Puntius eugrammus (striped barb). RNAcentral describes it as "tRNA-Lys". It matches the Rfam family "tRNA". From Rfam's summary of the family: Transfer RNA (tRNA) molecules are approximately 80 nucleotides in length. The record is from RNAcentral. Lineage: Eukaryota; Metazoa; Chordata; Actinopteri; Cypriniformes; Cyprinidae.
CGCUAGGAAGCUAAAUUAUGGACAAAGCAUUGGCCUUUUAAGCCAGAGAUUGGUGACUACCGACCACCCCUAGUGA